RNAcentral lists this ribosomal RNA (465 nucleotides) under Vreelandella stevensii. RNAcentral's name for it is "partial 16S ribosomal RNA". It matches the Rfam family "Bacterial small subunit ribosomal RNA", at positions 338 to 795 of the family's 1533-position model. Lineage: Bacteria; Pseudomonadati; Pseudomonadota; Gammaproteobacteria; Oceanospirillales; Halomonadaceae. The record is from RNAcentral.
CCUACGGGUGGCUGCAGUGGGGAAUAUUCGACAAUGGGGGCAACCCUGAUCCAGCCAUGCCGCGUGUGUGAAGAAGGCCCUCGGGUUGUAAAGCACUUUCAGUGAGGAAGAACGCCUGGUGGUUAAUACCCAUCAGGAAAGACAGCACUCACAGAAGAAGCACCGGCUAACUCCGUGCCAGCAGCCGCGGUAAUACGGAGGGUGCGAGCGUUAAUCGGAAUUACUGGGCGUAAAGCGCGCGUAGGUGGCUUGAUAAGCCGGUUGUGAAAGCCCCGGGCUCAACCUGGGAACGGCAUCCGGAACUGUCAAGCUAGAGUGCAGGAGAGGAAGGUAGAAUUCCCGGUGUAGCGGUGAAAUGCGAAGAGAUCGGGAGGAAUACCAGUGGCGAAGGCGGCCUUCUGGACUGAAACUGACACUGAGGUGCGAAAGCGUGGGUAGCAAACAGGAUUAGAUACCCUUGUAGUC